GAUGAACGCUGACAGAAUGCUUAACACAUGCAAGUCAACUUGAAUUUGGGUUUUUAACUUAGAUUUGGGUGGCGGACGGGUGAGUAACGCGUAAAGAACUUGCCUCACAGUUAGGGACAACAUUUAGAAAUGAAUGCUAAUACCUGAUAUUAUGAUUUUAAGGCAUCUUAGAAUUAUGAAAGCUAUAAGCACUGUGAGAGAGCUUUGCGUCCCAUUAGCUAGUUGGAGAGGUAACAGCUCACCAAGGCGAUGAUGGGUAGCCGGCCUGAGAGGGUGAACGGCCACAAGGGGACUGAGACACGGCCCUUACUCCUACGGGAGGCAGCAGUGGGGAAUAUUGGACAAUGGACCGAGAGUCUGAUCCAGCAAUUCUGUGUGCACGAUGAAGUUUUUCGGAAUGUAAAGUGCUUUCAGUUGGGAAGAAAAAAAUGACGGUACCAACAGAAGAAGUGACGGCUAAAUACGUGCCAGCAGCCGCGGUAAUACGUAUGUCACGAGCGUUAUCCGGAUUUAUUGGGCGUAAAGCGCGUCUAGGUGGUUAUGUAAGUCUGAUGUGAAAAUGCAGGGCUCAACUCUGUAUUGCGUUGGAAACUGUAUAACUAGAGUACUGGAAAGGUAAGCGGAACUACAAGUGUAGAGGUGAAAUUCGUAGAUAUUUGUAGGAAUGCCGAUGGGGAAGCCAGCUUACUGGACAGAUACUGACGCUAAAGCGCGAAAGCGUGGGUAGCAAACAGG
This 735-nucleotide ribosomal RNA is filed under the name uncultured Fusobacterium sp. RNAcentral's name for it is "bacterial SSU rRNA". It matches the Rfam family "Bacterial small subunit ribosomal RNA", at positions 28 to 776 of the family's 1533-position model. Lineage: Bacteria; Fusobacteriati; Fusobacteriota; Fusobacteriia; Fusobacteriales; Fusobacteriaceae. The record is from RNAcentral.